This 506-nucleotide ribosomal RNA is filed under the name uncultured Verrucomicrobium sp. Its description in RNAcentral is "bacterial SSU rRNA". It matches the Rfam family "Bacterial small subunit ribosomal RNA", at positions 71 to 574 of the family's 1533-position model. The record is from RNAcentral. Lineage: Bacteria; Pseudomonadati; Verrucomicrobiota; Verrucomicrobiia; Verrucomicrobiales; Verrucomicrobiaceae.
CUUUGGAGCUUGCUUUGGAGAUUUCUAGUGGCGGACGGGUGAGUAACACGUGAGUAACCUGCCUUGAAGUGGGGGAUAGCCCGGGGAAACUCGGAUUAAUACCGCAUAUGGUCUUCGGAUCAAAGAUGGCGUAAGCUGUCGCUUCGAGAUGGGCUCGCGGCCUAUCAGCUAGUUGGUGAGGUAACGGCUCACCAAGGCGACGACGGGUAGCUGGUCUGAGAGGACGAUCAGUCACACUGGAACUGAGACACGGUCCAGACACCUACGGGUGGCAGCAGUCGAGAAUCAUUCGCAAUGGACGCAAGUCUGACGGUGCGACGCCGCGUGGAGGAUGAAGGCCUUAGGGUCGUAAACUCCUGUCAUCAGGGAGUAAGGCUUUAUAUAGUAACUGAUAUAAGGAUUGAUAGUACCUGAAGAGGAAGGGACGGCUAACUUCGUGCCAGCAGCCGCGGUAAUACGAAGGUCCCAAGCGUUGUUCGGAUUUACUGGGCGUAAAGCGUCUGUAG